UCUCUGGUGGUCUAGUGGUUAGGAUUUGGCACUAUCACUGCCAUGGCCUGGGUUCAGUCCCUGGCUGGGGAA
Transfer RNA from Ovis aries (sheep), 72 nucleotides. It matches the Rfam family "tRNA". From Rfam's summary of the family: Transfer RNA (tRNA) molecules are approximately 80 nucleotides in length. Their secondary structure includes four short double-helical elements and three loops (D, anti-codon, and T loops). Further hydrogen bonds mediate the characteristic L-shaped molecular structure. tRNAs have two regions of fundamental functional importance: the anti-codon, which is responsible for specific mRNA codon recognition, and the 3' end, to which the tRNAs corresponding amino acid is attached (by aminoacyl-tRNA synthetases). tRNAs cope with the degeneracy of the genetic code in two manners: having more than one tRNA (with a specific anti-codon) for a particular amino acid; and 'wobble' base-pairing, i.e. permitting non-standard base-pairing at the 3rd anti-codon position. Lineage: Eukaryota; Metazoa; Chordata; Mammalia; Artiodactyla; Bovidae. The record is from Rfam.